AUGAGCGGCGGACGGGUGAGUAACGCGUGGGAAUAUGCCCUUCUCUAAGGAAUAGCCUCGGGAAACUGAGAGUAAUACCUUAUACGCCCUUCGGGGGAAAGAUUUAUCGGAGAAGGAUUAGCCCGCGUUAGAUUAGGUAGUUGGUGGGGUAAUGGCCUACCAAGCCUACGAUCUAUAGCUGGUUUGAGAGGAUGAUCAGCCACACUGGGACUGAGACACGGCCCAGACUCCUACGGGAGGCAGCAGUAGGGAAUCUUAGACAAUGGGGGAAACCCUGAUCUAGCCAUGCCGCGUGUGUGAUGAAGGCCUUAGGGUCGUAAAGCACUUUCGCCAGAGAUGAUAAUGACAGUAUCUGGUAAAGAAACCCCGGCUAACUCCGUGCCAGCAGCCGCGGUAAUACGGAGGGGGUUAGCGUUGUUCGGAAUUACUGGGCGUAAAGCGCACGUAGGCGGAUUAGUAAGUUAAAGGUGAAAUCCCAGGGCUCAACCCUGGAACUGCCUUUAAUACUGCUAGUCUUGAGUUCGAGAGAGGUAAGUGGAAUUCCAAGUGUAGAGGUGAAAUUCGUAGAUAUUUGGAGGAACACCAGUGGCGAAGGCGGCUUACUGGCUCGAUACUGACGCUGAGGUGCGAAAGUGUGGGGAGCAAACAGGAUUAGAUACCCUGGUAGUCCACACCGUAAACGAUGAAUGCCAGACGUCAGCAAGUAUACUUGUUGGUGUCA
This 721-nucleotide ribosomal RNA is filed under the name uncultured Paracoccaceae bacterium. Its description in RNAcentral is "bacterial SSU rRNA". It matches the Rfam family "Bacterial small subunit ribosomal RNA", at positions 91 to 848 of the family's 1533-position model. The record is from RNAcentral. Lineage: Bacteria; Pseudomonadati; Pseudomonadota; Alphaproteobacteria; Rhodobacterales; Paracoccaceae.